This 736-nucleotide ribosomal RNA is filed under the name Lycogala sp. RNAcentral's name for it is "partial small subunit ribosomal RNA". It matches the Rfam family "Eukaryotic small subunit ribosomal RNA", at positions 14 to 525 of the family's 1831-position model. Lineage: Eukaryota; Evosea; Eumycetozoa; Liceales; Enteridiidae. The record is from RNAcentral.
CUGCCAGAAUUCAUAUGCUUGUCCCGAAGAAAUAAGCCAUGCAUGCCCAUGACAAAAUAGGACCUUUCGGGCCGCAAUUCAUCGGGGCCGCUGGCGCGGGUUUGGCCAGGGCAAAACUCAAAUGAAUCGGCCCGGAGGCCGAUGAAUCAGCGAACGGCUCCGCAUAUCUGUUGUCACCUAUCGUGGUAAGUAAGGCGUGGAUAUAGCACGGAAAAGCUGUGUGUAACACAGUUGAACCGGGGCACACCCUCGGCCGAGUGUCGCUCGGUCUGUAUGGGAUAAUCGGGCCCGACCGCCAGUUGGCCGGACAGGUCGGCCCAGCCUCGCUAAUCCUCCUACAGUACGAUGACCCGGACACCCAGCCCCCGGGGACGGGGGCGGACCGGCUACUUUCGAAACGGAGGCCUCUUCGUGGGGAGUAACCCGACCAGACUGUGAUUUCGACCCGAAUAGGGUGAUUGAGGCCUGGAUCUUGCCUCCCCAAUAAUGAAGAGACUAACCACGAGCGCACGAUGGGCUUCAGACCUAUCAGCUUGAUGGUAGGGUAUUGGCCUACCAUGGCAAUGACGGGUACAGAGGAUUAGGGUUUGAUCCUGGAGAGGUAGCCUGAGAGAUCGCUCCCACUUCUAAGGAAGGCAGCAGGCGCGUAACGUUCCCAAUGCUCAGUGAGUGAGGACGUAAUGGGACAUAACAAUACCUCUUACUAGGUAAGUGGGUAAUGAUAAUGGGGUGCUAA